Molecule: small RNA, 913 nt
Filed under: Pan troglodytes (chimpanzee)
Lineage: Eukaryota; Metazoa; Chordata; Mammalia; Primates; Hominidae
Description: processed transcript
Source: RNAcentral
GGCGGCGCAGUCUCGGUAGGCGGAAUCCGGAGAUGAUGAGUAUCAAGGGGACCAGUCAGACACAGAGGACGAAGUGGACUCUGACUUUGACAUUGAUGAAGGGGAUGAACCAUCCAGUGAUGGAGAAGCAGAAGAGCCAAGAAGGAAGCGCCGAGUAGUCACCAAGGCCUAUAAGGAACCUCUCAAGAGCUUAAGGCCUCGAAAGGUCAACACCCCGGCUGGUAGCUCUCAGAAGGCCCGAGAAGAGAAGGCACUACUGCCAUUAGAACUACAAGAUGACGGCUCUGACAGUCGGAAGUCUAUGCGUCAGUCUACAGCUGAGCAUACACGACAAACGUUCCUUCGGGUACAGGAGAGGCAGGGCCAGUCAAGACGGCGAAAGGGGCCCCACUGUGAGCGGCCACUAACCCAGGAGGAACUGCUCCGGGAGGCCAAGAUCACAGAAGAGCUUAAUUUACGUUCACUGGAGACAUAUGAGCGGCUCGAGGCUGAUAAAAAGAAGCAGGUUCAUAAGAAGCGGAAGUGCCCUGGGCCCAUAAUCACCUAUCAUUCAGUGACAGUGCCACUUGUUGGGGAGCCAGGCCCCAAGGAAGAGAACGUUGACAUAGAAGGACUUGAUCCUGCUCCCUCAGCGUCUGCAUUGACUCCUCAUGCUGGGACUGGACCCGUCAACCCCCCUGCUCGCUGCUCACGUACCUUCAUCACUUUUAGUGAUGAUGCAACUUUCGAGGAAUGGUUCCCCCAAGGGCGGCCCCCAAAAGUCCCUGUUCGUGAGGUUUGUCCAGUGACCCAUCGUCCAGCCCUAUACCGGGACCCUGUUACAGACAUACCCUAUGCCACUGCUCGAGCCUUCAAGAUCAUUCGUGAGGCUUACAAGAAGUACAUUACUGCCCAUGGACUGCCGCCCACUGCC